AUUGAACGCUGGCGGAAUGCUUUACACAUGCAAGUCGAACGAUGAACCUUAGCUUGCUAAGGGGAUUAGUGGCGAACGGGUGAGUAAUGUAUCGGAACGUAUCCAAUAAUGGGGGAUAACUAGUCGAAAGAUUAGCUAAUACCGCAUACGUCCUACGGGAGAAAGCUAGGGACCUUCGGGCCUGGCGUUAAUGGAGCGGCCGAUAUCUGAUUAGCUAGUUGGUGGGGUAAAGGCUCACCAAGGCGACGAUCAGUAGCUGGUCUGAGAGGACGACCAGCCACCCUGGAACUGAGACACGGUCCAGACUCCUACGGGAGGCGGCAGUGGGGAAUUUUGGACAAUGGGCGAAAGCCUGAUCCAGCCAUUCCGCGUGAGUGAAGAAGGCCUUCGGGUUGUAAAGCUCUUUCGCAAGGGAAGAAAACUUAAGCUCUAACAUAGCUUGAGGUUGACGGUACCUUGAUAAGAAGCACCGGCUAACUACGUGCCAGCCGCCGCGGUAA
This 500-nucleotide ribosomal RNA is filed under the name uncultured bacterium. RNAcentral describes it as "partial 16S ribosomal RNA". It matches the Rfam family "Bacterial small subunit ribosomal RNA", at positions 30 to 523 of the family's 1533-position model. The record is from RNAcentral.